This 484-nucleotide ribosomal RNA is filed under the name uncultured bacterium. RNAcentral describes it as "partial 16S ribosomal RNA". It matches the Rfam family "Bacterial small subunit ribosomal RNA", at positions 30 to 507 of the family's 1533-position model. The record is from RNAcentral.
AUUGAACGCUGGCGGCAGGCCUAACACAUGCAAGUCGAGCGGAUGAAGGGAGCUUGCUCCUGGAUUCAGCGGCGGACGGGUGAGUAAUUCCUAGGAAUCUGCCUGGUAGUGGGGGAUAACGUCCGGAAACGGGCGCUAAUACCGCAUACGUCCUGAGCGAGAAAGUGGGGGAUCUUCGGACCUCACGCUAUCAGAUGAGCCUAGGUCGGAUUAGCUAGUUGGUGGGGUAAAGGCCUACCAAGGCGACCAUCCGUAACUGGUCUGAGAGGAUGAUCAGUCACACUGGAACUGAGACACGGUCCAGACUCCUACGGGAGGCAGCAGUGGGGAAUAUUGGACAAUGGGCGAAAGCCUGAUCCAGCCAUGCCGCGUGUGUGAAGAAGGUCUUCGGAUUGUAAAGCACUUUAAGUUGGGAGGAAGGGCAGUAAGUUAAUACCUUGCUGUUUUGACGGUACCAACAGAAUAAGCACCGGCUAACUUCGUG